GUGCCAGCCGCCGCGGUAAUACGGAGGGUGCGAGCGUUAAUCGGAAUUACUGGGCGUAAAGCGCACGUAGGCGGCCUGUUAAGCUGGAUGUGAAAUCCCCGGGCUCAACCUGGGACCUGCACCCAGAACUGGCAGGCUAGAGUAUGGUAGAGGUGAGUGGAAUUUCCAGUGUAGCGGUGAAAUGCGUAGAUAUUGGAAGGAACAUCAGUGGCGAAGGCGGCUCACUGGACUAAUACUGACGCUGAGGUGCGAAAGCGUGGGGAGCAAACAGGAUUAGAUACCCUUGUAGUCC
This 292-nucleotide ribosomal RNA is filed under the name uncultured bacterium. RNAcentral's name for it is "partial 16S ribosomal RNA". It matches the Rfam family "Bacterial small subunit ribosomal RNA", at positions 505 to 796 of the family's 1533-position model. The record is from RNAcentral.